GGAGGUUCGCCGAGCUUCACGAUAUCUCCUAUGCUGCGACAAUCCCUAUCAGGCGAAUGCCCAACAGCAUCAUAAUUCAAAUAAAUCCUAAUAGGCUGCCUUAUAUCCUUCUGCACAGACAACGGCACGGACAACCCAAGCAAAGUCCUCCCUCCAUGGUGAACCGUUGGAGAUGAAUCCGAUUCCUCGUAAACCUGUGGGGUGAUGGAGUACUCCUU
RNAcentral lists this unclassified non-coding RNA (218 nucleotides) under Hevea brasiliensis (rubber tree). Lineage: Eukaryota; Viridiplantae; Streptophyta; Magnoliopsida; Malpighiales; Euphorbiaceae. The record is from RNAcentral.